GGCCCCCGGGCCUUUUUUAAGUUUUAAAACCUGCUCAGGACGAACGCUGGCGGCGUGCCUAAUACAUGCAAGUCGAGCGGACAGAUGGGAGCUUGCUCCCUGAUGUUAGCGGCGGACGGGUGAGUAACACGUGGGUAACCUGCCUGUAAGACUGGGAUAACUCCGGGAAACCGGGGCUAAUACCGGAUGCUUGUUUGAACCGCAUGGUUCAAACAUAAAAGGUGGCUUCGGCUACCACUUACAGAUGGACCCGCGGCGCAUUAGCUAGUUGGUGAGGUAAUGGCUCACCAAGGCAACGAUGCGUAGCCGACCUGAGAGGGUGAUCGGCCACACUGGGACUGAGACACGGCCCAGACUCCUACGGGAGGCAGCAGUAGGGAAUCUUCCGCAAUGGACGAAAGUCUGACGGAGCAACGCCGCGUGAGUGAUGAAGGUUUUCGGAUCGUAAAGCUCUGUUGUUAGGGAAGAACAAGUACCGUUCGAAUAGGGCGGUACCUUGACGGUACCUAACCAGAAAGCCACGGCUAACUACGUGCCAGCAGCCGCGGUAAUACGUAGGUGGCAAGCGUUGUCCGGAAUUAUUGGGCGUAAAGGGCUCGCAGGCGGUUUCUUAAGUCUGAUGUGAAAGCCCCCGGCUCAACCGGGGAGGGUCAUUGGAAACUGGGGAACUUGAGUGCAGAAGAGGAGAGUGGAAUUCCACGUGUAGCGGUGAAAUGCGUAGAGAUGUGGAGGAACACCAGUGGCGAAGGCGACUCUCUGGUCUGUAACUGACGCUGAGGAGCGAAAGCGUGGGGAGCGAACAGGAUUAGAUACCCUGGUAGUCCACGCCGUAAACGAUGAGUGCUAAGUGUUAGGGGGUUUCCGCCCCUUAGUGCUGCAGCUAACGCAUAAGCACUCCGCUGGAGAUCGCCACGGUU
Molecule: ribosomal RNA, 917 nt
Filed under: Bacillus halotolerans
Lineage: Bacteria; Bacillati; Bacillota; Bacilli; Caryophanales; Bacillaceae
Description: bacterial SSU rRNA
Rfam family: Bacterial small subunit ribosomal RNA
Source: RNAcentral